CCUAUUUUAAAAGGCUUUUCUUGUGAAGUAAGAGAAAUAUGGCUGGUAACCACAUCACAGGGGGUAAUUGCAGUUUGGCAGGUGUGUCAUAAUGAGCAGAGAUAGAGCUCCCAACAGGAUGCAAAUGAAUUUUGGCCCCGGGCUCUUCCAGCGCGAUGCAUUCAAGUCAAUUAAGACUCUGCCACUUUCUACAACAGGGGUCAGAUUCCCUACAGAUCAUCCCAAUAUGACAUGAAAGAUCUAAGAGAGCAGCUCGGCGUGUCAAAACUUGACGCGAGCCGGGGUGGCGAUGAAAAGGAAGAGUUGGAUGAACUUUGAUAGACAUCAGAAAUCUGGGAAACAAAAACAAGGUCUAAUUCUGCCAAGAAAGAGGAAGGAUAAAAAAGGAAGGCCGUUUCUUUUGGAGAUUAUGCAAGCGUGUUUGGAUGGGAAGGAGUUCAGAUAAUAAUGAAACAAUUAAAGGCUUUAAGGGCUUGACUGGACUGAUUACGCGGUCACCACACCCCGAACCCUUUCCUUCACAUGAUGCCUCGGGCUACAACGCCACACCCCACGAAAGUGCUCCCCCUCCUGAGUGGGACGGUCUCUGUGCAGGUGGGACAGUCACAGGUCAAUCAUGAAAACUUUGGUCAUCUGGGACAUUAAGAGAGUGUUGGAACCGGAGCCCAGAGGUCUGAUGUCGGAGUGAGAAGCUAUUGUUCAGCGCUACACACAAUCUGACCAAUCUGACCCUGCUUGCUGCUCAAAACACAACUGCUCCGUUUCUUUAUCAUUUACAUCUGGAGCACAAACAGUCCAGGAUGAAUUACACAUUGAACUUUAAUAAUAGAAGUUUUCACAAACUCCGGAGAUUUUGAGAUUUGCAUGUGUCGUAUCUUCAACUUUAUGCACAAUAACCUUCAAAGCAUGCAGGAAAACACAGACUCUUGUAUUCCAACAUUCUUCUUGAGUCUAAAUCCAGUUUUCCAUGAUGCAACUCUCACACAAACACACACACUCUCUCAAUGUGUUUUUAAUCUCAAAUCCCAAAGCGUGCAAAAUGUACACAAUCCCUUGCAGAUCCUUUUCUAAAGGGCAGAAACGGAGACGAGAAACAAGAGCCAUGUUCUCUGGUGCCCUGGGCCGAACGGAUGGAGAACGUGAAGGAAAAUACAGAAGAACAUUCACAAAGAGACAAUCGAUGAUGCAUUUUGUUUGUAUGAGGGUUUAUUACAACACAUUGUUCCUAAAACUGGCCUGGAAAAUUGUUUGGCUGAACAGCAAAGUAAGAC
This is a long non-coding RNA of Cyprinus carpio carpio, 1271 nucleotides long. Lineage: Eukaryota; Metazoa; Chordata; Actinopteri; Cypriniformes; Cyprinidae. The record is from Ensembl.